Molecule: ribosomal RNA, 298 nt
Filed under: uncultured eukaryote
Lineage: Eukaryota
Description: partial 18S ribosomal RNA
Rfam family: Eukaryotic small subunit ribosomal RNA
Source: RNAcentral
CCCUUAGACACUCUAGGUGGCACGCGCGCUACAAUGGGUGGAAGAACGUGUUACUGCCUCCGAAAGGAGGGGUGAAUCACGAAUUCUUGCCCGUGAAUGGGAUAGUUUGUUGCAAUUUUCGGACUUGAACUAGGAAUCCCUUGUAAACAUGCUCAAGAAUAGCGUGUUGAAUACGUCCCUGCCGUUUGUACACACCGCCCGUCGUUUCUUCCGACUGAUACUCAUUGUGAGUUGCAAGGACCCUUUAUUGGGAAAUUGCUGCAAAUGCUUUGUAUUGGAGGAAGAAAAAGUCGUAACA